UUGAAACAGAAAUGCAAUCUAUUAUACCAUACUGGAUAAGGCUGGCCGGAGGAGCUGUGUGGCUACUGAGUUUUCCAUCCACUAUAUCCAGUGCCUUCUAAGAACUGAGUCUAUGGGCCCAGUGGGUCCAUAGAUUCAAUAUACACAGUUUUUGUGGGCCUCUCUAUUUCCUCCAAUGUGAUUCUAUGGAAUAUAGGGUUCACUGUUAUUCACAGUUUCCGUUAUCCAUGGGGAGAUCUCAGAACAUAUUCCCUUCAACACUACUCCACCAGUGUUGUGAGAACUAAAAAAAUAUUCCUUUCAUAAUUAUGAAUAUGGCUUUGAAUAUAGCUUGGAUAAAAACUAUGUAUUUGGCAUAAGGACAGAUAUGUUUGUAAGGAGUCACUUGAUGUGGAAAUGUUGCAUGUUUUUAUGGCCUUGCUAGAGAUAGCUGAAAUGUGGCCUUUACAGAUAAAUUCUAACGGACAGCUUUGCUAUUUUUAAAGAUGGCAAAAUGUUGCUUUUUUGCAGACAAUUUUGAAACCUCAGAGCCUUGCUACAGCUUUGACAGAGAUAAAAUAAUGUUGCUCUUUGCAGGUGUACACAUGCUUCUACUCCAUACUGUAACUUUGAUAAAACUCCCGACUUGCCUAUCGAUAGACAUGCUUGUCUGUAAUUAUAAUUAUGUAAUUGUUAUUUUAGAAAGUUAGAGAGUUGCUCUGCAGGUCUUUAGGAAGAUUGUAACCCUCCAUGAAGGGAGGGACCAAUGGCUGUGGAAAAGGGGAAUAUAAACAUGUGCUGAACUUUG
Long non-coding RNA from Anolis carolinensis (green anole), 787 nucleotides. RefSeq lists it as uncharacterized. The record is from RefSeq and is a predicted model, not a curated record. The transcript is spliced from 2 exons. Lineage: Eukaryota; Metazoa; Chordata; Lepidosauria; Squamata; Anolidae.